GACGAACGCUGGCGGCGUGCUUAACACAUGCAAGUCGAACGGAAAGGCCCUGCUUUUGUGGGGUGCUCGAUUGGCGAACGGGUGAGUAACACGUGAGUAACCUGCCCUUGACUUUGGGAUAACUUCAGGAAACUGGGGCUAAUACCGGAUAGGAGCUCCUGCUGCAUGGUGGGGGUUGGAAAGUUUCGGCGGUUGGGGAUGGACUCGCGGCUUAUCAGCUUGUUGGUGGGGUAGUGGCUUACCAAGGCUUUGACGGGUAGCCGGCCUGAGAGGGUGACCGGCGACAUUGGGACUGAGAUACGGCCCAGAGUCCUACGGGAGGCAGAAGUGGGGAAUAUUGCACAAUGGGCGGAAGCCUGAUGCAGCAACGCCGCGUGCGGGAUGACGGCCUUCGGGUUGAAAACCGCUUUCGCCUGUGACGAAGCGUGAGUGACGGUAAUGGGUAAAGAAGCACCGGCUAACUACGUG
This 468-nucleotide ribosomal RNA is filed under the name uncultured bacterium. RNAcentral's name for it is "partial 16S ribosomal RNA". It matches the Rfam family "Bacterial small subunit ribosomal RNA", at positions 28 to 507 of the family's 1533-position model. The record is from RNAcentral.